GAUGAACGCUGGCGGCGUGCUUAACACAUGCAAGUCGAACGAAGCACUUUAUUUGAUUUCCUUCGGGACUGAUUAUUUUGUGACUGAGUGGCGGACGGGUGAGUAACGCGUGGGUAACCUGCCUUGUACAGGGGGAUAACAGUUGGAAACGGCUGCUAAUACCGCAUAAGCGCACGGCAUCGCAUGAUGCAGUGUGAAAAACUCCGGUGGUAUAAGAUGGACCCGCGUUGGAUUAGCUAGUUGGUGAGGUAACGGCCCACCAAGGCGACGAUCCAUAGCCGACCUGAGAGGGUGACCGGCCACAGUGGGACUGAGACACGGCCCAAACUCCUACGGGAGGCAGCAGUGGGGAAUAUUGCACAAUGGGCGAAAGCCUGAUGCAGCGACGCCGCGUGAGCGAAGAAGUAUUUCGGUAUGUAAAGCUCUAUCAGCAGGGAAGAUAAUGACGGUACCUGACGAAGAAGCACCGGCUAAAUACGUG
This 481-nucleotide ribosomal RNA is filed under the name uncultured bacterium. RNAcentral's name for it is "partial 16S ribosomal RNA". It matches the Rfam family "Bacterial small subunit ribosomal RNA", at positions 28 to 507 of the family's 1533-position model. The record is from RNAcentral.